RNAcentral lists this ribosomal RNA (484 nucleotides) under uncultured bacterium. RNAcentral describes it as "partial 16S ribosomal RNA". It matches the Rfam family "Bacterial small subunit ribosomal RNA", at positions 30 to 507 of the family's 1533-position model. The record is from RNAcentral.
AUUGAACGCUGGCGGCAUGCCUAACACAUGCAAGUCGAGCGGCAGCAGGGGGCUUGGUACUUGGUUGCGAGGCGCGCGCGUGAGUGAUACCUAUCAGUCCACGUGGUAGUGGGGGAUAUCGUCCGGCGACGGGCGGUAUUAUCCCACACGUCAUGUGCGAGAGAAAGGGGGGUCUUCGCACGCCACGCGCUCAGAUGUGCCUAGGUCGGAUUAGCUAGUUGGUGGGGUAAAGGCCUACCAAGGCGACGAUCCGUAACUGGUCUGAGAGGAUGAUCAGUCACACUGGAACUGAGACACGGUCCAGACUCCUACGGGAGGCAGCAGUGGGGAAUAUUGAACAAUGGGCGAAAGCCUGAUCCAGCAAUGCCGCGUGUGUGAAGAAGGUCUUCGGAUUGUAAAGCACUUUUGGCCGGGAGGAAGGGCAUUGACUUAAUACGUUCGUGUGUUGACGUUACCGACAGAAUAAGCACCGGCUAACUACGUG